This 517-nucleotide ribosomal RNA is filed under the name uncultured bacterium. RNAcentral's name for it is "bacterial SSU rRNA". It matches the Rfam family "Bacterial small subunit ribosomal RNA", at positions 29 to 518 of the family's 1533-position model. The record is from RNAcentral.
ACGAACGCUGGCGGCGUGCCUAAUACAUGCAAGUCGAACGGUCUUUCUAUGGAAGCUUGCUUCCACUGAGAAGAUAGUGGCGAACGGGUGAGUAACACGUGGGUAACCUGCCCAUAAGAGGGGGGAUAACAUCCGGAAACGGGUGCUAAUACCGCAUAGUUUUCUUGAUCGCAUGAUUGAGAAAGGAAAGACGGCCUUUGUGCUGUCGCUUAUGGAUGGACCCGCGGCGUAUUAGUUAGUUGGUGAGGUAACGGCUCACCAAGACGAUGAUACGUAGCCGACCUGAGAGGGUGAUCGGCCACAUUGGGACUGAGACACGGCCCAAACUCCUGCGGGAGGCAGCAGUAGGGGAUCUUCCGCAAUGGACGAAAGUCUGACGGAGCAACGCCGCGUGAGUGAAGAAAGGUUUUCGGAUCGUAAAACUCUGUUGUCAGAGAAGAACAAGUUGGAGAGUAACUGCUCCAGCCUUGACGGUAUCUGACCAGAAAGCCACGGCUAACUACGUGCCAGCCGCCGC